GCCCCAGUGGCCUAAUGGAUAAGGCAUUGGUCUCCGGAACCAAGGAUUAUGGGUUUGAGUCCCAUCUGGGGUA
Molecule: non-coding RNA, 73 nt
Organism: Callorhinchus milii (elephant shark)
Lineage: Eukaryota; Metazoa; Chordata; Chondrichthyes; Chimaeriformes; Callorhinchidae
Source: the annotation of a RefSeq genome assembly